AGAGUUUGAUCCUGGCUCAGAGCGAACGCUGGCGGCAGGCUUAACACGUGCAAGUCGAGCGGGCGUAGCAAUACGUCAGCGGCAGACGGGUGAGUAACGCGUGGGAACGUACCUUUUGGUUCGGAACAACACAGGGAAACUUGUGCUAAUACCGGAUAAGCCCUUACGGGGAAAGAUUUAUCGCCGAAAGAUCGGCCCGCGUCUGAUUAGCUAGUUGGUGAGGUAACGGCUCACAAAGGCGACGAUCGGUAGCUGGUCUGAGAGGAUGAUCAGCCACAUUGGGACUGAGACACGGCCCAAACUCCUACGGGAGGCAGCAGUGGGGAAUAUUGGACAAUGGGCGAAAGCCUGAUCCAGCCAUGCCGCGUGAGUGAUGACGGCCUUAGGGUUGUAAAGCUCUUUCAUCAGGGACGAUAAUGACGGUACCUGAAGAAGAAGCCCCG
Molecule: ribosomal RNA, 443 nt
Filed under: uncultured bacterium
Lineage: Bacteria
Description: bacterial SSU rRNA
Rfam family: Bacterial small subunit ribosomal RNA
Source: RNAcentral